AUUGAACGCUGGCGGCAUGCUUUACACAUGCAAGUCGAACGGCAGCGCGGGGGCAACCCUGGUGGCGAGUGGCGGACGGGUGAGUAAUGCAUCGGAACGUGCCCUGAAGUGGGGGAUAACGCAGCGAAAGCUACGCUAAUACCGCAUAUUCUGUGAGCAGGAAAGCAGGGGAUCGCAAGACCUUGCGCUUUGGGAGCGGCCGAUGUCGGAUUAGCUAGUUGGUGGGGUAAAGGCCUACCAAGGCGACGAUCCGUAGCGGGUCUGAGAGGAUGAUCCGCCACACUGGGACUGAGACACGGCCCAGACUCCUACGGGAGGCAGCAGUGGGGGAAUUUUGGACAAUGGGCGGAAGCCUGAUCCAGCCAUGCCGCGUGAGUGAAGAAGGCC
This 387-nucleotide ribosomal RNA is filed under the name uncultured bacterium. RNAcentral's name for it is "bacterial SSU rRNA". It matches the Rfam family "Bacterial small subunit ribosomal RNA", at positions 29 to 416 of the family's 1533-position model. The record is from RNAcentral.